This 882-nucleotide ribosomal RNA is filed under the name Triticum aestivum (bread wheat). Its description in RNAcentral is "partial small subunit ribosomal RNA". The record is from RNAcentral. Lineage: Eukaryota; Viridiplantae; Streptophyta; Magnoliopsida; Poales; Poaceae.
AUGAAGGAUGCUGCUGUGAGCCAUGCCACCCCAUCAGCAAGUGUUGAAGUGGACGCCCCCGAGACCAACCUAAGCAAGGAAAAUUCCCGCUCAUCUGACACGGAUUCCAAGCGCGUGCAUGGUGGCACUCCUGUGUCCACGACAGAAGUGGCUGAGGUGAUAGUUCAUAAUGAUAUGCCGUCCACAGGUGAGAGUCUUGGCACAACAGCUCUAUCUCUUGGUGGUGCAGAGGUUGCUAAGGCGACCGUUUCACGAGAUGGUCUUCCACCUAGGCAUCGUAGCCCCCGCAAGAAAUCAACAGACAUACCCAAUGCACCGGCUGUAGCUAGAAGCAGCAGAGAUGACUCUGGUUAUGUUCCUGCGUCACACUGUUCCCACCACCUGCCAAAACCAUUGUUAUGGAGAAACCGGAAGACCGGAGUACAACUGAUCCAGGUGGCAAGACGGGCACGACUGACGGAGGUGAACGUCCGGAAGACGGGCACGACUGACGGAGGUGAACGUCCGGAGCAGACUGCGUCUUUAUCCGCCGUGGAGAACCCCAGCUUAAAUCUGCACACUUCCAAGCUGCUAGUCAAUGUUGGUGUCCCCUACAGCCCAAACAAGAAGAUUGUCAAGAAAGCUAUGACUGAUACGGCUGACAACACACCCCUCCCUACGAAUAAGCCCGAUGAUUCUGCAGCGGCCGAUUCAGAAAUGUUUGUUGAUCUUUCACCUUGGAUUCUGCCCCGCAAGUUGUUCGCGGUCCGGCCAGUAGGCAUGAGAGGCACCCAAUGGCCUUCACCCCACCGAGCUUUAGCCUUGGCAUCCAUCAAGAUCAACCAGUGGUCCAAGAUCCUACGCCAGUUGCCUUUCCUUUCCUGGCAGGCAUGGCCGCAAUGA